Molecule: ribosomal RNA, 251 nt
Filed under: uncultured prokaryote
Description: partial 16S rRNA
Rfam family: Bacterial small subunit ribosomal RNA
Source: RNAcentral
ACGUAGGUGGCGAGCGUUAUCCGGAAUUACUGGGCGUAAAGCGCAAGCAGGCGGUUCGUUAAGUUUGGCGUAAAAUCUCCUGGCUUAACUGGGAGGGGUCGUUGAAGACUGGCGAGCUUGAGGCAAUGAGAGGGGCAUGGAAUUCCCGGUGUAGUGGUGAAAUGCGUAGAGAUCGGGAGGAACACCAGAGGCGAAAGCGGUGCCCUGGCAUUGGCCUGACGCUGAGAUGCGAAAGCGUGGGGAGCGAACGG